GUUGUCCGGAUUUACUGGGCGUAAAGGGCGCGUAGGCGGCUUAACAAGUCACUUGUGAAAUCUCCGGGCUUAACUCGGAACGGCCAAGUGAAACUGUCAAGCUAGAGUGCAGAAGGGGCAAUCGGAAUUCUUGGUGUAGCGGUGAAAUGCGUAGAUAUCAAGAGGAACACCUGAGGUGAAGACGGGUUGCUGGGCUGACACUGACGCUGAGGCGCGAAAGCCAGGGGAGCAAACGGG
Molecule: ribosomal RNA, 237 nt
Filed under: uncultured bacterium
Lineage: Bacteria
Description: partial 16S ribosomal RNA
Rfam family: Bacterial small subunit ribosomal RNA
Source: RNAcentral